GGAUUAGAUACCCUGGUAGUCCACGCCGUAAACGAUGUCAACUAGCCGUCGGAUUCAUUUUGGAAUUUGGUGGCGCAGCUAACGCGAUAAGUUGACCGCCUGGGGAGUACGGCCGCAAGGUUAAAACUCAAAGGAAUUGACGGGGGCCCGCACAAGCGGUGGAGCAUGUGGUUUAAUUCGAUGCAACGCGAAGAACCUUACCAGCCCUUGACAUCCAGUGAACUUUCUAGAAAUAGAUUGGUGCCUUCGGGAACACUGUGACAGGUGCUGCAUGGCUGUCGUCAGCUCGUGCCG
This 294-nucleotide ribosomal RNA is filed under the name uncultured bacterium. RNAcentral's name for it is "partial 16S ribosomal RNA". It matches the Rfam family "Bacterial small subunit ribosomal RNA", at positions 775 to 1067 of the family's 1533-position model. The record is from RNAcentral.